AGUAACGCGUGAGUAACCUGCCUUACACAAGGGGAUAGCCGUUGGAAACGACGAAUAAUACCCUAUGAAACUAUCACUUCGCAUGAAGCGAUAGCCAAAGUGUUUUAGCGGUGUAAGAUGGACUUGCGUCUGAUUAGCUAGUUGGUGAGAUAACAGCCCACCAAGGCAACGAUCAGUAGCCGGCUUGAGAGAGUGUACGGCCACAUUGGGACUGAGACACGGCCCAG
This 227-nucleotide ribosomal RNA is filed under the name uncultured Eubacteriales bacterium. RNAcentral's name for it is "uncultured Clostridiales bacterium partial 16S ribosomal RNA". It matches the Rfam family "Bacterial small subunit ribosomal RNA", at positions 109 to 334 of the family's 1533-position model. Lineage: Bacteria; Bacillati; Bacillota; Clostridia; Eubacteriales. The record is from RNAcentral.